RNAcentral lists this ribosomal RNA (333 nucleotides) under Clostridioides difficile. RNAcentral's name for it is "bacterial LSU rRNA". It matches the Rfam family "Bacterial large subunit ribosomal RNA", at positions 827 to 1159 of the family's 2925-position model. Lineage: Bacteria; Bacillati; Bacillota; Clostridia; Peptostreptococcales; Peptostreptococcaceae. The record is from RNAcentral.
UUCCAAGCGAGCCCGGAGAUAGCUGGUUCUCCCCGAAAUAGCUUUAGGGCUAGCCGCAAGGUGAGAGAUACGGAGGUAGAGCACUGAAUGUCCUAGGGGGUAUUGCACCUACCGAAGACUAUCAAACGCCGAAUGCCGUCAUCUUAUACUUGGGAGUCAGACUGUGGGUGAUAAGAUUCAUAGUCGAAAGGGCAACAGCCCAGAUCGUCAGCUAAGGUCCCUAAAUGUAAGUUAAGUGGUAAAGGAUGUGGGAUUGCACAGACAACCAGGAUGUUGGCUUAGAAGCAGCCACUCAUUCAAAGAGUGCGUAAUAGCUCACUGGUCGAGUGAUCC